RNAcentral lists this non-coding RNA (27 nucleotides) under Homo sapiens (human). The record is from RNAcentral. Lineage: Eukaryota; Metazoa; Chordata; Mammalia; Primates; Hominidae.
AGAAGGUGCUGUGAUUGUGGUCACCUC